RNAcentral lists this microRNA precursor (111 nucleotides) under Glycine max (soybean). Its description in RNAcentral is "miR399o stem-loop (gma-MIR399o)". Its record names the gene gma-MIR399o. Lineage: Eukaryota; Viridiplantae; Streptophyta; Magnoliopsida; Fabales; Fabaceae. The record is from miRBase by way of RNAcentral.
AUCAGCAAUAGGGCUCCUCUCUCCUGGCAUGCAGACAGACAUUAUUUUGGUAGUUACCUACCAAAAGUUGGUAUUAACAACAUGCCAAGGGAGAGUUGCCCUGUGGCUGCU